This 253-nucleotide ribosomal RNA is filed under the name uncultured bacterium. RNAcentral describes it as "partial 16S ribosomal RNA". It matches the Rfam family "Bacterial small subunit ribosomal RNA", at positions 524 to 776 of the family's 1533-position model. The record is from RNAcentral.
UACGGGGGGAGCAAGCGUUGUUCGGAUUUACUGGGCGUAAAGGGCGCGUAGGCGGCGCAACAAGUCACUUGUGAAAUCUCCGGGCUUAACUCGGAGCGGCCAAGUGAUACUGUCGUGCUAGAGUGCAGAAGGGGCUACUGGAAUUCUCGGUGUAGCGGUGAAAUGCGUAGAUAUCGAGAGGAACACCUGCGGCGAAGGCGGGUAGCUGGGCCGACACUGACGCUGAGGCGCGAAAGCUAGGGGAGCGAACGGG